RNAcentral lists this long non-coding RNA (689 nucleotides) under Helianthus annuus (common sunflower). RNAcentral describes it as "hypothetical non coding rna". Lineage: Eukaryota; Viridiplantae; Streptophyta; Magnoliopsida; Asterales; Asteraceae. The record is from RNAcentral.
GGAGUCAAGACCUAUACCCUUGCACCGAAUCAAAACAUAUGGUUUGUCAUUUACAUGUAAAUACGAGAACUGAUUCAGGGCUGUUUGGGAUUGUUUAUUGAUCGGUUCGACUUUUGGCUGUUUAUUUUUCAGAAUCAAAUUGUGCUUAUAAUUAGGUUUAAGAAAAAGUGAGGUUUAAGAAAAAGUGAGAUGUUACUAGAGAGGAGAGGAGUUUUUGCUGGUUCAGAUCUGAUUAAAGCUGUUGAUCAUCUCUUAAAGUGGAGGGUUUGAAGUAAUGAAUAUGGUGGUUAUGUGCAUGAAUUGGCCAUGGUAGCCAAGUUAUUCUAUUGUUCUAUUGAUUAACUAGGUUACAACCCCGUGUAUUACACGGGUUGAAUAAAUGAAUUUUAUAUACCAAAUAAUAAAACAUUAUCUUUUUUAAAAGCCUCCUUUAUUGCACGGGUUAAAGAAAUGUAAUUUUAUAUAUUAAAUAAUAAAAUAAGUUAUAUCUAUAAGAACCAUAUGUAUUGUACGGGUUGAAUAAAUGUAAUAUUAUAUACCAAAUAAUAAAAAAAAAAUUAUAUCUUUAAAACCAUUGUAUUACACGGGUUGAAUAAAUGUAAUAUUGUCUACCAAAUAAUAAAAAAAGGCUUUAUUUUUAAAAACCCCCGUGUAUUACAUGAGUUGAAUAAAUAUGAUUUUAUAUACCA